Xenia sp. Carnegie-2017 is the source of this 89-nucleotide long non-coding RNA. RefSeq lists it as uncharacterized. The transcript is spliced from 3 exons. The record is from RefSeq and is a predicted model, not a curated record. NCBI's taxonomy places the organism in Eukaryota, Metazoa, Cnidaria, Anthozoa, Malacalcyonacea, Xeniidae.
AAGGGAACGAGGUCUGCGUCGACGAGGUACUUAAUUGAUGUCAGCACAGGAUUCAUCAACGUGUGUCAACUGGGAAAACACAAUGGUAC